Molecule: long non-coding RNA, 568 nt
Filed under: Pongo abelii (Sumatran orangutan)
Lineage: Eukaryota; Metazoa; Chordata; Mammalia; Primates; Hominidae
Description: lincRNA
Source: RNAcentral
AAAGAACUAGAGAAGCAAGACAAAACCCCAAAGCUAGAGGAAGACAAGAAAUAACUGAAAAUCCAAGCUGAACUGAAAGAAACUGAGACAUGAAAAAAAAAUUCAACAGAUCUACGAAUUCAGGUUUCUCCACAGACACUACCCAAAGCAGUCCUUCACUACAGUGGCAGACAGACCUGAAAAUUUUCAUCUGAAGCAGCAGAGUGAACUGCAGAGUCAGGUCACCAACCAGUGUGGAGGCUAACAGCAGGCCUCUUUGGGGAUUCCAGGUGGAAGUGUUGGACAUCUGUAGUAUUCCUGGUCUCGAAUCAUCCUGAUAUUCUUCAUUUUGUUAUUCACAUUGGACUAGGGAACAAAGAUCACCACAACUGGCUCCCCUUCAACUGUGUUAGAUGGCAGCUUGCCUUCAGUACGGUGAAACACAUUAGUUAAGACUGGGAUUGUGCAUGGCAGGACUUUCUACAAGGACACCCAGUCUCCUUAAUAAACAAGAGAUGCUCUCUUUCCAGAAGUUCUCUUGCCUGACACAGCAUAGGAAGAUGCUGAACGGCCACACAGUGAUCCAUUG